CUCACUCCCGCCUCUCUCUCGCGAAUUAUCCAUGGCUUCUUUAACUUCCACUCUCGCCCUCGCCCUCGCCUCCUCUCCCGCUGCCCUCCGCCCUUCGUCCCUAGGGUUCCAUUCCCUCUCUUUAACCUACGGCAUUGGAUACCUCCGGCCCCGUCUGGGUGGCCGGACCCCCCCGCGGCCGCUCCCCAUCCGAGCCCAAACCCUAGAUUUCUCGGGCUCUUUCUUCGAGGAAGGGGGAGAUGAGGAGAGGGAUGGACCCUCCGGCCCCUCGGCUGCCGCCGCUGCCAUGGCGCUGGAAGACAAGGAGGAACCGCAGUGCCCGCCGGGCCUUCGCCAGUACGAGACCAUGGCUGUGCUCCGGCCUGAUAUGACCGAGGACGAGCGCCUCGCCCUCAUCCAGAGAUACGAGGAGUUGCUUGUUGCAGGGGGUGGCAUGUACGUGGAGGUCUUUAACCGCGGAGUGAUCCCACUUGCAUACAGCAUAAAGAAAAGGAACAAGGCAGGAGAGAGCAACACAUACUUGGAUGGCAUAUACCUUCUCUUCACUUAUUUCACCAAACCAGAAUCCAUGGCUGCACUGGAGUCCCGGCUCAAUGCUGAUGAUGAUGUCAUCCGGUCAUCAACCUUCAAGAUACGCAAGCGGAAAUUGUAGAAUCUCUUUUCACAAGAGGGAAAAUGGAAAGAAAAAAAGGUUAAUAGGUUGCACCGAUGUAAUCCAUGCGGCUAGGUUGCAGCAGAUGCCUGGGCUUCAGGUAGUUCGAUGGAAAAUUAUGAGUGGCUACUUGAUCCACACUGCCGAAAAAGGUAAUUCCUUGACCUUAUCUUGUUCUCUUAUAGCUCAGGCAGAAACUUAUACUUCCUUUGCAGCAAAUCAUACUGGAUCCCAUUGCCGCCACUGCACUCUCUUCUCUCUCACAUCCCGUUCUUGAUUAUCUUUUAAUAAGACUUCAAAUUGGCGAUGUUAACCUGGAGUUGGAGCAUGAUAUUAGCGAUGCAAAUGGCCUGGCCCACAAUCUGCUAACUUUGCAGCUUGGGCCUGAUCCAUUUGCAUAUCAGAUAAUAAUUUAAAAUGCUCUUAUAAACAUCAGACAUCAUUAAAGCAACGUAAUAGGAAAUAUGGGUGUCAGUUAUGUUGAAGAUGACUGGUUGCAUUUUUAUGAAUGCCCAAAUAAUCUUUUUUCA
Molecule: non-coding RNA, 1182 nt
Organism: Phoenix dactylifera (date palm)
Lineage: Eukaryota; Viridiplantae; Streptophyta; Magnoliopsida; Arecales; Arecaceae
Source: RefSeq, a predicted model, not a curated record